UGGCUCUCGCAUCGAUGAAGAACGCAGCGAAAUGCGAUAAGUAAUGUGAAUUGCAGAAUUCAGUGAAUCAUCGAAUCUUUGAACGCACCUUGCGCUCCUUGGUAUUCCGAGGAGCAUGCCUGUUUGAGUGUCUUGAAGUCAUCAACCCCUUCCGUUUCGUGCGGAUCGGGUUGGACGUGGGGGCUCUGCCGCCGUGAGGCGGCUCCCCUCAAAUGCAUCGGUUGGGCCUGUGGGUCGAACUCGACUGGGCGUUGUACCAUCCUCGCUCGACAGAGACGUUCCCCUUCUGUGCCCCUCCCCGACCUGCCUUUAGAGAGUGGCGGUCAAGCAAACUUUGAAAUCUGACCUCAAAUCAGGUAGGACUACCCGCUGA
This 373-nucleotide unclassified non-coding RNA is filed under the name uncultured fungus. Its description in RNAcentral is "partial contains 5.8S ribosomal RNA and internal transcribed spacer 2". The stretch from base 1 to 133 matches the Rfam family "5.8S ribosomal RNA", at positions 22 to 154 of the family's 154-position model. The record is from RNAcentral. Lineage: Eukaryota; Fungi.